This 421-nucleotide ribosomal RNA is filed under the name uncultured Cytophaga sp. RNAcentral's name for it is "bacterial SSU rRNA". It matches the Rfam family "Bacterial small subunit ribosomal RNA", at positions 355 to 774 of the family's 1533-position model. Lineage: Bacteria; Pseudomonadati; Bacteroidota; Cytophagia; Cytophagales; Cytophagaceae. The record is from RNAcentral.
UAGGGAAUAUUGGUCAAUGGGCGCAAGCCUGAACCAGCCAUGCCGCGUGCAGGAAGAAGGCCCUCUGGGUUGUAAACUGCUUUUGAUAGGGAACAAAUGCCACUUGCGAGUGGAGCUGAGUGUACCUAUAGAAUAAGCACCGGCUAACUCCGUGCCAGCAGCCGCGGUAAUACGGAGGGUGCAAGCGUUGUCCGGAUUUAUUGGGUUUAAAGGGUGCGUAGGCGGCUAUUUAAGUCAGUGGUGAAAUCCUUCAGCUUAACUGGAGAACUGCCAUUGAUACUGAAUAGCUUGAGUAUAGUUGAGGUAGGCGGAAUUGACAGUGUAGCGGUGAAAUGCUUAGAUAUUGUCAAGAACACCGAUUGCGAAGGCAGCUUACUAAACUAUAACUGACGCUGAGGCACGAAAGCGUGGGGAUCAAACA